GACGAACGCUGGCGGCGUGCCUAAUACAUGCAAGUAGAACGCUGAAGGAGGAGCUUGCUCUUCUGGAUGAGUUGCGAACGGGUGAGUAACGCGUAGGUAACCUGCCUGGUAGCGGGGGAUAACUAUUGGAAACGAUAGCUAAUACCGCAUAAGAGUAGAUGUUGCAUGACAUUUGCUUAAAAGGUGCAAUUGCAUCACUACCAGAUGGACCUGCGUUGUAUUAGCUAGUUGGUGGGGUAACGGCUCACCAAGGCGACGAUACAUAGCCGACCUGAGAGGGUGAUCGGCCACACUGGGACUGAGACACGGCCCAGACUCCUACGGGAGGCAGCAGUAGGGAAUCUUCGGCAAUGGACGGAAGUCUGACCGAGCAACGCCGCGUGAGUGAAGAAGGUUGUCGGAUCGUAAAGCUCUGUUGUAAGAGAAGAACGAGUGUGAGAGUGGAAAGUUCACACUGUGACGGUAUCCUACCAGAAAGGGACGGCUAACUACGUG
Molecule: ribosomal RNA, 495 nt
Filed under: uncultured bacterium
Lineage: Bacteria
Description: partial 16S ribosomal RNA
Rfam family: Bacterial small subunit ribosomal RNA
Source: RNAcentral